This 494-nucleotide ribosomal RNA is filed under the name uncultured bacterium. RNAcentral's name for it is "partial 16S ribosomal RNA". It matches the Rfam family "Bacterial small subunit ribosomal RNA", at positions 28 to 507 of the family's 1533-position model. The record is from RNAcentral.
GACGAACGCUGGCGGCGUGCUUAACACAUGCAAGUCGAACGGUGAAGCGCCUUCCUUUUUGGUGGGUGUGGAUGAGUGGCGAACGGGUGGGUAACACGUGAGUAACCUGCCCCCUUCUUCUGGAUAACCGCAUGAAAGUGUGGCUAAUACGGGAUAUUCUGGGUCUGUCGCAUGAUGGGUCUGGGAAAGAUAUUGUUUCGGUGGGGGAUGGGCUCGAGGCCUAUCAGCUUGUUGGUGGGGUGAUGGCCUACCAAGGCGGUGACGGGUAGCCGGCCUGAGAGGGUGGACGGUCACACUGGGACUGAGACACGGCCCAGACUCCUACGGGAGGCAGCAGUGGGGAAUAUUGCACAAUGGGCGCAAGCCUGAUGCAGCGACGCCGCGUGAGGGAUGGAGGCCUUCGGGUUGUGAACCUCUUUCGCCAGUGAAGCAGGCCUGCCUCGUUUGUGGGUGGGUUGACGGUAGCUGGAUAAGAAGCGCCGGCUAACUACGUG